GACGAACGCUGGCGGCGUGCUUAACACAUGCAAGUCGAACGGAAAGGCCCUGCUUUUGUGGGGUGCUCGAGUGGCGAACGGGUGAGUAACACGUGAGUAACCUGCCCUUGACUUUGGGAUAACUUCAGGAAACUGGGGCUAAUACCGGAUAGGAGCUCCUGCUGCAUGGUGGGGGUUGGAAAGUUUCGGCGGUUGGGGAUGGACUCGCGGCUUAUCAGCUUGUUGGUGGGGUAGUGGCUUACCAAGGCUUUGACGGGUAGCCAGCCUGAGAGGUUGACCGGCCACAUUGGGACUGAGAUACGGCCCAGACUCCUACGGGAGGCAGCAGUGGGGAAUAUUGCACAAUGGGCGGAAGCCUGAUGCAGCAACGCCGCGUGCGGGAUGACGGCCUUCGGGUUGUAAACCGCUUUCGCCUGUGACGAAGCGUGAGUGACGGUAAUGGGUAAAGAAGCACCGGCUAACUACGUG
Molecule: ribosomal RNA, 468 nt
Filed under: uncultured bacterium
Lineage: Bacteria
Description: partial 16S ribosomal RNA
Rfam family: Bacterial small subunit ribosomal RNA
Source: RNAcentral